Molecule: ribosomal RNA, 429 nt
Filed under: uncultured bacterium
Lineage: Bacteria
Description: bacterial SSU rRNA
Rfam family: Bacterial small subunit ribosomal RNA
Source: RNAcentral
AGUGAACGCUGGCGGCAGGCCUAAUACAUGCAAGUCGAACGGCAGCACAGUGGAGCUUGCUCCAUGGGUGGCGAGUGGCGGACGGGUGAGGAAUACAUGGGAAUCUGCCCAGUCGUGGGGGAUAACGUAUGGAAACGUACGCUAAUACCGCAUGCGCCCUUCGGGGGAAAGUCGGGGGACCGCAAGGCCUGACGCGAUUGGAUGAGCCCAUGUUCGAUUAGCUAGUUGGCGGGGUAACGGCCCACCAAGGCGACGAUCGAUAGCUGGUCUGAGAGGAUGAUCAGCCACACUGGAACUGAGACACGGUCCAGACUCCUACGGGAGGCAGCAGUAGGGAAUAUUGGACAAUGGGCGCAAGCCUGAUCCAGCCAUGCCGCGUGAGUGAAGAAGGCCCUCGGGUUGUAAAGCUCUUUGUUGGGUAAGAAAGAC